RNAcentral lists this ribosomal RNA (163 nucleotides) under uncultured soil bacterium. RNAcentral's name for it is "partial 16S ribosomal RNA". It matches the Rfam family "Bacterial small subunit ribosomal RNA", at positions 26 to 217 of the family's 1533-position model. The record is from RNAcentral.
AGAACGAACGCUGGCGGCAUGCCUAAUACAUGCAAGUCGAACGAACUCUUCGGAGUUAGUGGCGCACGGGUGCGUAACGCGUGGGAAUCUGCCCCUUGGUUCGGAAUAACAGUUGGAAACGACUGCUAAUACCGGAUGAUGACGAAAGUCCAAAGAUUUAUCG